This is a long non-coding RNA of Phasianus colchicus (ring-necked pheasant), 1096 nucleotides long. RefSeq lists it as uncharacterized. Lineage: Eukaryota; Metazoa; Chordata; Aves; Galliformes; Phasianidae. The record is from RefSeq and is a predicted model, not a curated record.
UGGAUUGAACAUUUGAUACAAGAUCAAAGACUGACUUGGAAUCAAAAAGGCAACUUGCUUCCGUAUCUUUCUGCUAUCUAAGACAAGACUUCUGCAUCCCUACUGCCUGGAAUGGAUACAAAGAAGUACCUGGUAAUUCUGGCUCUCGAGACGUUCCUUAUGAUUGUGAAGAUGAGGAAAUGAUCCAGAAAAGUGGCAUUGAUUUUGAAGAGCAGAGGAAUUUGCCAGUCACUCCUUGUUGCUAAGCUGCAAGAAAAAACCCUCCAUCAGCUCUCAGCACGUCACUCACAAAUAUCAGUGGGACAUGGUAUUUACAGUGUUUGUGUAAAGCCCCAGGAAUGGUUUAGACUACAUCCUUCCACUUCAAGCAAUUUGAAUGAGAUCUUAAAUAUCAGGAUCCUCUUCACUUGGUUGCACAAAAUGAAUUGCGUAAUCUUUUCCUUUGGGAGCACAUUCCUUGUGCUCUGCAUCUGUAGACUAUGAUCCAUUUAUACAAAUACAGGGCAAAGAUUUUGCAGAAAGGGAAAGUUACAUGACCUGUGCAAUUCUCUUAUGUACCCUGCAAGCUUGUGGCUUUUUGGAUCCUCCUUUCACUGAUGACCCUUUAGAGAGUUAAAUCUCAAAUCCCAGCCUGGAAUUUAUUAAGAGUUGAAUGGUGAGAUUCAUCCAGCACAAAACUGUUUACGGCAAGCUUGUGUAGAGAAAAAGACUAGCUGGUCUAUUUUUUGCCUUGCUCUAAAUAUUGUCAUUUAUAACAAAGCCGACUGAUGCCUUUUCCUCAUGUUCUCUAUGUGCCCAGAACAUCAGACACUAGACACGCUUACCAGACUUCAACAUAGAAAUUUUCCACUUGCUUUGUAUCCAGGGGAAGGAAAGCAUUGGCUGCUUCACUAACACAAAAUAUUUAAUGCCUUCACAGAAGAAUCCCAGAUGAUUGAGGGGGGGCAAGGCUUCAGGAUUUCAGGGUAAAUGGUGCUCAGGUCUGUGGAGUCCAUGUAUGAAGUCUGCUCAGAAGUUAAGGCCUCCAAUUUAUUUCCAUGGAAAUGACAACAGAUGCAAAGAGCACAAUAACACUACUUGAUAGAGCAAAUUCUCA